RNAcentral lists this long non-coding RNA (383 nucleotides) under Populus trichocarpa (black cottonwood). RNAcentral describes it as "long non-coding RNA (PTRI_LNC001083)". Lineage: Eukaryota; Viridiplantae; Streptophyta; Magnoliopsida; Malpighiales; Salicaceae. The record is from RNAcentral.
CUCAAAUUGAUGGCAAAUUCUCAUCUGGGUCUAACUCUUUUCUCUCUAGUUCUCUUCUUUUCUCUCCCAAGACCCACUCUCUCACAAGACCCUUCUCCUACAGUCUUUGAAAUCUUGCCAAAAUUUGGUCUUCCCAGUGGGCUAUUACCUAAAACAGUAAAAAGUUACAGUCUUUCUGAUGAUGGUAGCUUUACUGUCUAUUUAGAGAAGGAAUGUUAUGUUGAGUUUGAUUACCUGGUCUACUACGAGAAGAAAAUAACUGGGAAGUUGAGCUAUGGAUCUAUCUCGAAUUUGAAGGGGAUUCAGGUUCAAAGGUUCUUCCUUUGGCUUGGUGUUGAUAACAUCAGGGUUGAUUUACCACCGUCUGACUCGAUUUAUUUUCA